CGCGGGGUGGAGCAGCUGGAAGCUCGUCGGGCUCAUAACCCGGAGGUCGUAGGUUCAAAUCCUACCCCCGCAACCA
RNAcentral lists this transfer RNA (76 nucleotides) under Clostridia bacterium. Its description in RNAcentral is "tRNA-Met". It matches the Rfam family "tRNA". Rfam says of the family: Transfer RNA (tRNA) molecules are approximately 80 nucleotides in length. The record is from RNAcentral. Lineage: Bacteria; Bacillati; Bacillota; Clostridia.